RNAcentral lists this ribosomal RNA (500 nucleotides) under uncultured bacterium. RNAcentral's name for it is "partial 16S ribosomal RNA". It matches the Rfam family "Bacterial small subunit ribosomal RNA", at positions 30 to 523 of the family's 1533-position model. The record is from RNAcentral.
AUUGAACGCUGGCGGAAUGCUUUACACAUGCAAGUCGAACGGCAGCACGGACUUCGGUCUGGUGGCGAGUGGCGAACGGGUGAGUAAUGUAUCGGAACGUGCCCAGUCGUGGGGGAUAACGUAGUGAAAAUUACGCUAAUACCGCAUACGAUCUAUGGAUGAAAGCGGGGGAUCGCAAGACCUCGCGCGAUUGGAGCGGCCGAUAUCAGAUUAGGUAGUUGGUGGGGUAAAGGCCCACCAAGCCAACGAUCUGUAGCUGGUCUGAGAGGACGACCAGCCACACUGGAACUGAGACACGGUCCAGACUCCUACGGGAGGCAGCAGUGGGGAAUUUUGGACAAUGGGCGAAGGCCUGAUCCAGCCAUUCCGCGUGCAGGAUGAAGGCCCUCGGGUUGUAAACUGCUUUUGUACAGAACGAAAAGGUUUCUACUAAUACUAGGAGCUCAUGACGGUACUGUAAGAGUAAGCACCGGCUAACUACGUGCCAGCCGCCGCGGUAA